This 1254-nucleotide ribosomal RNA is filed under the name uncultured Bacteroidales bacterium. Its description in RNAcentral is "bacterial SSU rRNA". It matches the Rfam family "Bacterial small subunit ribosomal RNA", at positions 32 to 1406 of the family's 1533-position model. Lineage: Bacteria; Pseudomonadati; Bacteroidota; Bacteroidia; Bacteroidales. The record is from RNAcentral.
AAAGGUAGCGGCAGGCUUAACACAUGCAAGUCGAGGGGCAGCGCGGGGUAGCAAUACUCUGGCGGCGACCGGCGGAAGGGUGCGUAACGCGUGAGCAACAUGCCCGUGGCAGGGGGAUAAGCGAUGGAAACGUCGUCUAAGACCCCGUAACAACAGAGUUCGCAUGGACUUUGUUUGAAAGCUUCGGCGGCCACGGAUUGGCUCGCGUCCCAUUAGGCAGUUGGCGGGGUAACGGCCCACCAAACCGACGAUGGGUAGGGGUUCUGAGAGGAAGGUCCCCCACAAUGGAACUGAGACACGGUCCAUACUCCUACGGGAGGCAGCAGUGAGGAAUAUUGGUCAAUGGGCGGAAGCCUGAACCAGCCAUGCCGCGUGCUAACUCCGUGCCAGCAGCCGCGGUAAUACGGAGGAUGCGAGCGUUAUCCGGAUUCAUUGGGUUUAAAGGGUGCGUAGGCGGCGUGCCAAGUCAGGGGUGAAAGGUUCCGGCUCAACUGGGACAGUGCCUUUGAUACUGGUGUGCUGGAGUGCGCUUGCCGUGGGAGGAAUGAGUGGUGUAGCGGUGAAAUGCUUAGAUAUCACUCAGAACACCGAUUGCGAAGGCAUCUCACGAAGGCGUAACUGACGCUGAGGCACGAAAGCGUGGGGAUCAAACAGGAUUAGAUACCCUGGUAGUCCACGCCGUAAACGAUGAUGACUAACCGCCGGUCCGCUAGGGUCGGUGGCCAAGCGAAAGCGAUAAGUCAUCCACCUGGGGAGUACGACCGCAAGGUUGAAACUCAAAGGAAUUGACGGGGGCCCGCACAAGCGGAGGAACAUGUGGUUUAAUUCGAUGAUACGCGAGGAAGAGAGACAGAGAUGUUGACGUCCUUCGGGACACUUGUCGAGGUGCUGCAUGGUUGUCGUCAGCUCGUGCCGUGAGGUGUCGGCUCAAGUGCCAUAACGAGCGCAACCCCUGCUUCCAGUUACCAGCACGUAAAGGUGGGGACUCUGGAGGGACUGCCACCGCAAGGUGAGAGGAAGGGGAGGAUGACGUCAAAUCAGCACGGCCCUUACGUCCGGGGCGACACACGUGUUACAAUGGCGGCCACAGAGGGAAGCUACCCUGCGAGGGGAUGCGGAUCUCGAAAAGCCGUCUCAGUUCGGAUCGGAGUCUGCAACUCGACUCCGUGAAGCUGGAUUCGCUAGUAAUCGCGCAUCAGCCAUGGCGCGGUGAAUACGUUCCCGGGCCUUGUACACACCGCCCGUCAAGCCAUG